This is a long non-coding RNA of Thamnophis elegans (Western terrestrial garter snake), 420 nucleotides long. RefSeq lists it as uncharacterized. The transcript has 3 exons. Lineage: Eukaryota; Metazoa; Chordata; Lepidosauria; Squamata; Natricidae. The record is from RefSeq and is a predicted model, not a curated record.
GCUAGAAUAUAUUGUCAUGACAAUUGCUGUUAGUUCAGCAGAGGCGGAAAGUGGGGUUCUCAAAAAUGAACCUUAUAUGUUCAAAGCAAAAGAACACACCUAAUUGUUCCAAACAUAAGUAAUCUGAUGGUGAUAAGUGUUGUUGGCAUACCUGUUGAGAGAUGGGACUCAAUUCCUGCAGUAAAAGUUUGGCUCAGAGCGCACCACCACACAGCUGAUGAUCCACAAGUAAAGACCAGGAAAACUGCAACAGAGGAAUCUGGAAGCCUAAAAACAGUAUGGAAAUAUCAACAACCAGGAAAGCAAUAAUACAAGUUGUUGGAGCAAAGUGAUAAGAUGGUGUGCAGAAAACUGUCAAGCUAGUGAGAUCUUUCCUCUGUUAUUGGAGCAAGGUAGUGAGGUGGUGGUGCAGAAGACGCA